Molecule: ribosomal RNA, 139 nt
Filed under: uncultured eukaryote
Lineage: Eukaryota
Description: partial 18S ribosomal RNA
Rfam family: Eukaryotic small subunit ribosomal RNA
Source: RNAcentral
UGGUGGGUUGCCUUGUCAGGUUGAUUCCGGUAACGAACGAGACCUCAGCCUGCUAAAUAGCCACGAUCGGCUCGCCCGGUCGGCCGGCUUCUUAGAGGGACUAUCGGCGACUAGCCGACGGAAGUGUGAGGCAAUAACA